CCUACGGGAGGCUGCAGUGAGGAAUAUUGGUCAAUGGACGAGAGUCUGAACCAGCCAAGUAGCGUGAAGGAUGACCGCCCUAUGGGUUGUAAACUUCUUGAAGAUGGGAAUAAAAUGUUCCACGUGUGGGAUUUUGUAUGUACCAUAUGAAUAAGGAUCGGCUAACUCCGUGCAGGCAGCCGCGGUAAUACGGAGGAUCCGAGCGUUAUCCGGAUUUAUUGGGUUUAAAGGGAGCGUAGGUGGAUUGUUACGGCAGUUGUGAAAGUUUGCGGCUCAACCGUAAAAUUGCAGUUGAAACUGGCAGUCUUGAGUACAGUAGAGGUGUGCGGUAUUCGUGGUGUAGCGGUGAAAUGCUUAGAUAUCACGAAGAACUCCGAUUGCGAAGGCAGUUCACUGGACUGCAACUGACACUGAGGCUCGAAAGUGUGGGUAUCAAACAGGAUUAGAUACCCGAGUAGGC
RNAcentral lists this ribosomal RNA (460 nucleotides) under uncultured bacterium. RNAcentral describes it as "partial 16S ribosomal RNA". It matches the Rfam family "Bacterial small subunit ribosomal RNA", at positions 338 to 795 of the family's 1533-position model. The record is from RNAcentral.